CCUACGGGAGGCAGCAGUGGGGAAUAUUGGACAAUGGGCGAAAGCCUGAUCCAGCAAUGCCGCGUGAGUGAUGAAGGCCUUAGGGUUGUAAAGCUCUUUUACCAGGGAUGAUAAUGACAGUACCUGGAGAAUAAGCUCCGGCUAACUCCGUGCCAGCAGCCGCGGUAAUACGGAGGGAGCUAGCGUUGUUCGGAAUUACUGGGCGUAAAGCGUACGUAGGCGGUUAUUCAAGUCAGAGGUGAAAGCCUGGAGCUCAACUCCAGAACUGCCUUUGAAACUAGAUAGCUAGAAUCUUGGAGAGGUGAGUGGAAUUCCGAGUGUAGAGGUGAAAUUCGUAGAUAUUCGGAAGAACACCAGUGGCGAAGGCGACUCACUGGACAAGUAUUGACGCUGAGGUACGAAAGCGUGGGGAGCAAACAGGAUUAGAUACCCUGGUAGUCCACGCCGUAAACGAUGAUAACUAGCUGUUCGGGCUCUACGAGCUUGAGUGGCGCAGCUAACGCAUUAAGUUAUCCGCCUGGGGAGUACGGUCGCAAGAUUAAAACUCAAAAUGAAGUUGACCGGNGUGAGAGCGACGACGACGACGACGAGGGAGAG
Molecule: ribosomal RNA, 597 nt
Filed under: uncultured bacterium
Lineage: Bacteria
Description: bacterial SSU rRNA
Rfam family: Bacterial small subunit ribosomal RNA
Source: RNAcentral